AUAGUUUCACGCACCCCGUAGAAUUCUGACUUACAAAUGGUAUCGUUUUACAAGAGGGGUUUCAGUUUUCUAGUGGUAUUUUUAGUUCGGCGUUGGCGCUAGUUUACCAAAAUGGUCUUAACUCGUCUCUUUCGCCUGUGUGGAAUCCACAGAUAUUUCAAGAACGUUCCUCAAUGUCAUGGGAGGUAUUUUUGUACAUCGCCACCAUCAAUCGCCCAACUCUCCCAAAAGAUUGGUUUCAUAGGAGACGGAAGCAUGGCUAAAGCAAUUUGCCGAAGUAUCAAGAAGAAAGGUCUCAUUCAGUAUUCCCAAGUAUAUGUUUCAAGCCCAUAUAUAGAAAAUUUGGACAGUUGGAAAGAACUUGGAGCAAAUGUAUCCACAGAUAACUCAAUUGUAGCAAAAGAGGCUGACAUAGUUUUCCUUGCUGUGAAACCUCAUAUUCUAAGUGGGGCCAUAGAAAAUAUAGCAAAUAGUCCAAAUGCUGCGGAAAUUAGAAACAAACUGUUCAUUUCCAUCCUGGCAGGAGUCACUAUAAAAGAUCUUGAAAAAUUGUUGAGCAAAUUCAGAGGUUCAAGAGUGGUGAGAGCAAUGCCGAAUACCCCCAUGUUAAUUGGAGAAGGUUGCACAGUAUAUUGUCCUGGAACCACUGUAACAGAUAGUGACUUGACUAUUGUCAAAAAUAUUUUGGAAGUUACUGGAAUGUGCCAGCUGUUACCUGAACGUAUGAUAAAUGCAGUAGGGGCUGUUUCAGCUAGUGGACCUGCGUUUGUAUAUAUUUUUAUCGAAGCUCUUUCGGAUGGUGGAGUGAGGAUGGGUCUUCACAGAGAUAUGGCAACCAAAUUUGCAGCCCAAACAGUUAUGGGAGCUGCAAAAAUGGUUUUGGAGACAAACAAGCACAUGGGUACUCUGAAGGAUGAAGUUUGUUCUGCUGGAGGACAAACCAUCGCUGGGAUUCAUGCUAUGGAAAGAUGUGCGGUUAGGGGAGCCUUAAUGGAUGCUGUAGAAGCAGCCGCUUUGAAAGCUGCCGAACUUGGAAAGCAAAGCACAGAGUAAUUUUUAUCAGAAUCAAUGACUCUCUACCUACCAUACGGUAAAAUAUCAGUAUUGAUUAUAGGUUCUUGAAAUGCAUUUGAAACUACUUAUAACUUAAGAAGUGCUGAUUUGAUUUCCAUAAAAAA
This is an RNA transcript of Leptinotarsa decemlineata (Colorado potato beetle), 1178 nucleotides long. RefSeq lists it as uncharacterized. The record is from RefSeq and is a predicted model, not a curated record. NCBI's taxonomy places the organism in Eukaryota, Metazoa, Arthropoda, Insecta, Coleoptera, Chrysomelidae.